RNAcentral lists this ribosomal RNA (133 nucleotides) under Castor canadensis (American beaver). The record is from RNAcentral. Lineage: Eukaryota; Metazoa; Chordata; Mammalia; Rodentia; Castoridae.
GUCUAAGGCCAUAUCUCCCUGAACACACCCAAUCUCAUCUGGUCUCAGAAACUAAACAGGAUCAGGCCUGGUUAGUACUUGGAUGGGAGAAAGAUCUUCAGAAGAGACUGCCCAGAGACAAGCAGUUUGGAGA